This 253-nucleotide ribosomal RNA is filed under the name uncultured bacterium. Its description in RNAcentral is "partial 16S ribosomal RNA". It matches the Rfam family "Bacterial small subunit ribosomal RNA", at positions 524 to 776 of the family's 1533-position model. The record is from RNAcentral.
UACGUAGGUGGCGAGCGUUGUCCGGAUUUACUGGGCGUAAAGAGCGCGCAGGCGGUCGGAUCAGUCGAAUGUGAAAGCCCCCGGCUUAACUGGGGAGGGUCAUUCGAUACUGUUCGACUCGAAGGCAGGAGAGGGAUGCGGAAUUCCAGGUGUAGCGGUGAGAUGCGUAGAUAUCUGGAGGAACACCGGUGGCGAAGGCGGCAUCCUGGACCGGCAUUGACGCUGAGGAGCGAAAGCCAGGGGAGCAAACGGG